AUAUUUAGAGUUUGAUCCUGGCUCAGGACGAACGCUGGCGGUGCGCCUAAUGCAUGCAAGUCGAACGAGCGACCCGGGCUUGCCCGGUUAGCUAGUGGCGGACGGCUGAGUAACACGUAAGUAAUCUGCCCCGAAGAGGGGGAUAAUCCAGAGAAAUCUGGCCUAAUACCCCGUACCUUCCUCUCCAGCCUGCUGGAUUGGAAGAAAGGCCUAGGCCGCUUUGGGAGGAGCUUGCGGCUUAUCAGGUAGUUGGUGGGGUAAUGGCCUACCAAGCCGAAGACGAGUAACCGGUGUGAGAGCACGAUCGGUCAGAGGGGGACUGAGACACGGCCCCCACUCCUACGGGAGGCAGCAGCAGGGAAUCUUGCGCAAUGGGCGAAAGCCUGACGCAGCGACACCGCGUGG
Molecule: ribosomal RNA, 405 nt
Filed under: Chloroflexota bacterium
Lineage: Bacteria; Bacillati; Chloroflexota
Description: bacterial SSU rRNA
Rfam family: Bacterial small subunit ribosomal RNA
Source: RNAcentral